This 254-nucleotide ribosomal RNA is filed under the name uncultured bacterium. RNAcentral's name for it is "partial 16S ribosomal RNA". It matches the Rfam family "Bacterial small subunit ribosomal RNA", at positions 524 to 776 of the family's 1533-position model. The record is from RNAcentral.
UACGGGGGGGGCAAGCGUUGUUCGGAAUUACUGGGCGUAAAGGGCGCGUAGGCGGCCUGCUAAGUCGGACGUGAAAUCCCUCGGCUCAACCGGGGAACUGCGUCCGAUACUGGCGAGGCUUGAAUCCGGGAGAGGGAUGCGGAAUUCCAGGUGUAGCGGUGAAAUGCGUAGAUAUCUGGAGGAACACCGGUGGCGAAGGCGGCAUCCUGGACCGGCAUUGACGCUGAGGAGCGAAAGCCAGGGGAGCAAACGGG